UGCGUAGGUGGCGCCAUAAGUCGGGUGUGAAAUUUCGGAGCUCAACUCCGAAACUGCAUUCGAUACUGUGGUGCUUGAGGACUGGAGAGGAGACUGGAAUUUACGGUGUAGCAGUGAAAUGCGUAGAGAUCGUAAGGAAGACCAGUGGCGAAGGCGGGUCUCUGGACAGUUCCUGACACUGAGGCACGAAGGCCAGGGAGCAAACG
RNAcentral lists this ribosomal RNA (206 nucleotides) under uncultured bacterium. RNAcentral's name for it is "partial 16S ribosomal RNA". It matches the Rfam family "Bacterial small subunit ribosomal RNA", at positions 568 to 774 of the family's 1533-position model. The record is from RNAcentral.